Molecule: ribosomal RNA, 219 nt
Filed under: Gammaproteobacteria bacterium
Lineage: Bacteria; Pseudomonadati; Pseudomonadota; Gammaproteobacteria
Description: partial 23S ribosomal RNA
Rfam family: Bacterial large subunit ribosomal RNA
Source: RNAcentral
GUGACGCCAGUCGCAUUGCCGAGUAGCUAUGUGUGGAAAGGAUAACCGCUGAAAGCAUCUAAGCGGGAAGCCCCUCCCAAGAUUAGGUCUCCCUGAUAUUUUAAAUAUCCUAAAGAUCCCUCGAAGACUACGAGGUUGAUAGGCAUGGUGUGGAAGUACAGCAAUGUAUGAAGCUAACAUGUACUAAUUGAUCGUGAGGCUUGACCAUAUAACACCCAA